This 419-nucleotide ribosomal RNA is filed under the name bacterium. RNAcentral's name for it is "partial 16S ribosomal RNA". It matches the Rfam family "Bacterial small subunit ribosomal RNA", at positions 355 to 776 of the family's 1533-position model. The record is from RNAcentral.
UGGGGGAUAUUGCACAAUGGGCGAAAGCCUGAUGCAGCGACGCCGCGUGGGGGAUGAAGGCCUUCGGGUUGUAAACUUCUUUUGCUCUGAACAAGGCGCACCAUGGGGUGUGUUGAGUGUCGGGGUUGCUUAGAGCCGGCUAACUACGUGCCAGCAGCCGCGGUAAUACGUAGGGCGCGAGCGUUGUCCGGAAUUAUUGGGCGUAAAGGGCUUGUAGGUGGCUGGUUGCGUCUGUCGUGAAAGCUCAUGGCUUAACUGUGGGUUUGCGGUGGGUACGGGCUGGCUUGAGUGCAGUAGGGGAGGCUGGAAUUCCUGGUGUAGCGGUGGAAUGCGCAGAUAUCAGGAGGAAUACCGGUGGCGAAGGCGAGUCUCUGGGCUGUUACUGACACUGAGGAGCGAAAGCAUGGGGAGCGAACAGG